CUCAGGUCUGGACGGACGUAGGGAGAACCUGGCUCAGAGCCCCUCAGGUCUGGACGGACGUAGGGAGGGCCUGGCUCAGAACACCCCGGGUCUAGAUGGACAGUUGAAUGCAGAUAUGGGGAUGAUACUGUAAUAAAUGCCAGGGACAAGGUCAGCCAUUAGGCAGACCUAGGAUCAGGUGAGUGUUAACAUAGGGUGGCUACAAACUGUCAGAGCAGCAGAUCAGCCUCUUACUAUGACAAGGGGAAGGGCCCGUAGCAGGACUCAUGUCAUUUCGUAUAUGGGCACUGGGGAAUUUGUUGUGAUUAGCCAGUUUUGAAAGGAUGUUGUUGCCACCCGAUUUGGACAUUACUUUUCUUGGGAGCACUAUGGCAACUUUGGUUGGCAGGGAGCUGGUGCCAGAAGCAUCCUUAGUUCAUACAGCAGUAUCAUCACCAUAGAUACCCCCAUCACCUGCUGAAAUCCAGGGAUUUACUAUACCAAUAGGGCGGCUUUUACCUGAUCCUAAAAGUUGUUCUGACCACAGCAGAUCAGGAGAAAGAACCUGCUAUUCAUCCACCCAGGUCCUGUCACUUAUAUGCAGUGCCCUCUAUAUCAGAAUAGACUGGCAAAGGGCAAAUCUGAUGAGGCACAAGAUUAGAGAAUGCAGCCCACAGCAUUGAUGAGACAAAGAGCUAGCCCAUUGGACUAUGCUUUGUUUGAUUAGACUCAUGGCUGAUAGAUCUCCAGGUUCCAUCUAUAGGGUGAAGCCCGACAUUGGAGUCAUGCCCCUUCUGAGUACUGGUUAGUCACUUGUCUCGUAUACUGGUGCCAUUGAGUGGUUACUCAAGGUUUGUAUGGCAUGAGUCCAGAGAAAGCACUCUAUUCCAUCUCUUCUUGUUUUCAAGAGUUCUUGAUAGUAUUCAUUGGAUGGGGCUGCUUCUGAAGCCAGUUCUAUAAAUUUAUUUUGGUUCCAGACAUGUAUGUUGUGUGUCAUUGUUAUUCUGUGAGUAUCACAUUUCUUACAUUAUAAAGGUUUUGUGUUUCCCUGCGUAGAAUUUUUUAAAACUGUUCAGAGCACCUCUCAUUUUAUUUGUUACACUUAUAUUUCUAAUUACGUUGUCUGUAUUUCUGGCUCCAGCUGUCUCUCUGAGCUGGCAUUUAGUGUAAGUAGAGUGGAGACAGAGACUACUCUCCUUUUGAAGAUCAGGGGACACGUGUUUCAUAGGAGAGACAACUCAGGGCCAGGAGAAGCAAAGAUGACUUUGAGCCACAUUUUCAUUGCCUGAACUCUUGGGUUGGUUGGAGACAAGUGCAGCCCCUACAGCUAUUCAAAUUUAUGGGAGCCCUAUGCAGUCUGCACUGAAGCCCAGAAUCUUUGUAGCACUCAGCACCCUGGAUACUCCCUCCCCAGGACAUCUCCCCAUACACAUUAUGCUAUGGGAUCAGAGUAGGGGUGGCUGGAUGCUGCUCUUGUGCCAGAGAAAUUCUUCCCCAGCCUGUUGCGAUUUCUUUAAAUCCCUUCUGUGCUACUAGAGCAGCAUAUGGGGGCCAGAACGGGCCCUUGAGCUUAUACACUUUUUCACUGUCAAACUGGUAGACAUGGCUGAUUUCUAACAGGAGUAGAAGUAGGCAGGAUAUUUUAACCUCUGAAUUUGGCACUAGUUGACCACUGGUGGAAUACUGUGACCCAUCCUGGUGUCUACUGUUCGAGGAGGAUGUUGAUAAAUUGGAGAGAGCGUUCAGAGAAGAGCCACAAGUAUGAUUAAAGGAUUAGAAAACAUGCCUUAUAGCGGUAGACUCAAGGACUGUAAUUGGAGUUAUCUUAACAGAGAGAGUGUUAAGGGAUGACUUGAUUACAAUCUGUAACUACCAAUAUUUAACAAUGGGCU
Molecule: long non-coding RNA, 1871 nt
Organism: Dermochelys coriacea (leatherback sea turtle)
Lineage: Eukaryota; Metazoa; Chordata; Testudines; Dermochelyidae
Exons: 3
Source: RefSeq, a predicted model, not a curated record